Molecule: transfer RNA, 41 nt
Filed under: Anolis sagrei (brown anole)
Lineage: Eukaryota; Metazoa; Chordata; Lepidosauria; Squamata; Anolidae
Description: partial tRNA-Asx
Source: RNAcentral
AUGAAUGAGCGGGCCUUGAUCCCACGAAAAUUAAUUAACAG